RNAcentral lists this ribosomal RNA (487 nucleotides) under uncultured bacterium. RNAcentral's name for it is "bacterial SSU rRNA". It matches the Rfam family "Bacterial small subunit ribosomal RNA", at positions 501 to 987 of the family's 1533-position model. The record is from RNAcentral.
CUACGUGCCAGCAGCCGCGGUAAUACGUAGGUGGCAAGCGUUGUCCGGAAUUAUUGGGCGUAAAGCGCGCGCAGGCGGAUUGGUCAGUCUGUCUUAAAAGUUCGGGGCUUAACUCCGUGAUGGGAUGGAAACUGCCAAUCUAGAGUAUCGGAGAGGAAAGUGGAAUUCCUAGUGUAGCGGUGAAAUGCGUAGAUAUUAGGAAGAACACCAGUGGCGAAGGCGACUUUCUGGACGAAAACUGACGCUGAGGCGCGAAAGCCAGGGGAGCGAACGGGAUUAGAUACCCCGGUAGUCCUGGCCGUAAACGAUGGGUACUAGGUGUAGGAGGUAUCGACCCCUUCUGUGCCGGAGUUAACGCAAUAAGUACCCCGCCUGGGGAGUACGACCGCAAGGUUGAAACUCAAAGGAAUUGACGGGGGCCCGCACAAGCGGUGGAGUAUGUGGUUUAAUUCGACGCAACGCGAAGAACCUUACCAGGUCUUGACAU